Molecule: long non-coding RNA, 2259 nt
Organism: Pseudophryne corroboree (corroboree frog)
Lineage: Eukaryota; Metazoa; Chordata; Amphibia; Anura; Myobatrachidae
Exons: 4
Source: RefSeq, a predicted model, not a curated record
GCUGACUGUAUCACUGAUGACUGUAUUGUCCUGUUUAACCUGCUGCACCAGGCCAGCUGAGUUUCUGUAGGUGAGGGCCGAGGGGGCACCUAACCCAGAACUGCUGAAGUUUCCAGUCACUAUACAGGAAGACAGGUAGAAGGAGAGAUUUGCAAAGUGUCGGGUGACCGGCAUAGAGGUCUGCAAAGUGUCAGUUGAAGACAACGGGAGGGGUCGCAGAGGCAGCAAGGACUGGAGGACAACAUGCAGGAGGGAAGUUACCAUACUUGUGUAAUUGUGUGUGUGGUGGGGGGUAUUGAGAGCACAGUACAAAACAGAGACUACAGUAUGGUGGGGGAGAGCGGACAAUACAAAACAUACAGAAGGGGGCAGCUCAGUAUAGGACAUACAGAUGGUGUUUGACGGGCAGGGGCAGUGCUAGGGUGAUCGGCGCCCCCUUGCAAACUAUAAAUUUGAGCCCUCCCAUACUUUGUAAAGUGACAGCGAGCUUCGUGAAGAAGGGGUGUUGUCUCACAAAGAAGGGGUGUGGCCACACAAUAGUACUCCCAAUUUAAAUUACGACACACAAAAGCACAAUCUUAGUCAGAUAUCACUGCACGUAGUGCCCCUGACUCAUAGUAGACCACAUAGUGUCCCUUAUUCAUAUUACAUCACACAGUAGCACCCCCUAGUCACAUUAUGCUACACAGUAGUGCCCAUUACACACAAAAUGCCCACGGUAGUAAUGCCCCAUGCAAAUAAUGCCCACAGUAGUAGUACCACUGAUACACAUAAUGCCCACAGUAGUAGUGCCGUUUAUACACAUAAUGCCCACAUUAGUAGUGCCCCUAUACACAUAAUGCCCAUAGUAGUAGUGCCCCUUAUGUACAUAAUGCCCAUAGUAGCGGUGCCCCAUAUUAACAUAAUGCACACAGUAGUGCUGCCCCAUAUACACAUAAUGUCCACAGUAGUAGUGGCCCUUGUACACCUAAUACCACACAGUAGUGCCCUUUGUACAUAAUGCUUUAUACACAAUGCCCAUAGUAGUGCCCUUUAUACAUAAUGUCCACAGUAAUGCUCCUUAUACACAUAAUGUCUACAGUAAUAGUGUACCUUACACAUAAUGCCCACAGUAGUAGUACCCAUUAUACACAUAAUGCCCACAGUAGUAGUGGCCCUUACACGUAAUGCGCACAGCAGUGGUGCCCCUUAUACAUAAUGCCUACAGUAGUAGUGUCCCUUAUACACAUAAUUUCAUUUGUAAUAUAAAGGAUAGUUACAGUAGCUCUAUCAUUAUGACUGUAACCUGCACACUGUAGGUAUUGUAUGAUAAUAACAUGGUCCUAACAGUAGGGAAGAUAAAAUCUGGAGCAGAUGACUUGGGUCUCUACUCUAUGAGACAGGAUCUUGGUUAAAGAUGAAAAAAGUCAAUAAAAUAGAUAAAUUGCAAAUGAAUAAAAUUGAAAGUACACAACAAAAUGUAGUAGUACAAUUAUACACAUACUAUGUCUGACCAAGAAAUUCUGGUUGUUUAGAUCAUCAUCUGGCAAAGUUCUGGCAAAGAGAUUUGCAGAGUGUCGGGUGACCGGCAAAGAGAUCUGCAAAGUGUCAGUUGAAGAUGACGGGUGGGGUCGCAGAGGCAGUAAGGACUGGAGGAUAACAUGCAGGAGUUUUCAGACAAGUUACCAGACAUCAGCAUGCCGGUUGGAGGAGACAGUUUUUCCAUGGUUACUCACUGUUUGAAGAGAGGAGCACACGGCAGGAUUUGCAGACACGGAGUAUCACAGCCUUACAGAAUUCUGCAAGAUUCUUUCACACUCUGAGAACACUAGCAGUACAAGUUAAACUUCUUCUGACACCAUGUUUUGUUCAUAUGUUUGUAAAUCCAGUCAUAAGGAUACAGAGACAUGCGAGUUCACUGCUGUGCUGUUUAUUCCAUCACUAACUCCAGACACACUGCACACUGGACCACCCACUUCCCAGCAUCCCCCUGGUCAUAGGGACCAUCACUGAAGAUUCAGGCUUACACAGAUUAGUAAGGGAGUGUCUACAAAUAUUAAGCAUUCUAAUACACUAACAUCGCAUCCACCAAUUUGGCAAUCAACGAAUGUUGUCUUGUGAAUACUGUAAAACAUUUAUGAUAGUCUUGGGAGAACUUUAAAAUGACAUCUACUGUAUAUAUAGUAUAAUUAAGUAAUCAAUGAGAUCAUAUAUAUUUUUAUUGCCAAAAGUUUAGAAGAUGAUUAGUGCAUUACAAAGGUCAACACCCAUCACAAAUAA